UUGCCUAUAUCAUAAGCGGAGGAAAAGAAACCAACCGGGAUUGCCUUAGUAACGGCGAGUGAAGCGGCAAAAGCUCAAAUUUGAAAUCUGGUACCUUCGGUGCCCGAGUUGUAAUUUGGAGAGGGCAACUUUGGGGCCGUUCCUUGUCUAUGUUCCUUGGAACAGGACGUCAUAGAGGGUGAGAAUCCCGUGUGGCGAGGAGUGCGGUUCUUUGUAAAGUGCCUUCGAAGAGUCGAGUUGUUUGGGAAUGCAGCUCUAAGUGGGUGGUAAAUUCCAUCUAAAGCUAAAUAUUGGCGAGAGACCGAUAGCGAACAAGUACAGUGAUGGAAAGAUGAAAAGAACUUUGAAAAGAGAGUGAAAAAGUACGUGAAAUUGUUGAAAGGGAAGGGCAUUUGAUCAGACAUGGUGUUUUGUGCCCUCUGCUCCUUGUGGGUAGGGGAAUCUCGCAUUUCACUGGGCCAGCAUCAGUUUUGGUGGCAGGAUAAAUCCAUAGGAAUGUAGCUUGCCUCGGUAAGUAUUAUAGCCUGUGGGAAUACUGCCAGCUGGGACUGAGGACUGCGACGUAAGUCAAGGAUGCUGGCAUAAUGGUUAUAUGCCGCCCGUCUUGAACCGGGGACCAA
Molecule: ribosomal RNA, 620 nt
Filed under: Saccharomyces cf. cerevisiae/paradoxus
Lineage: Eukaryota; Fungi; Ascomycota; Saccharomycetes; Saccharomycetales; Saccharomycetaceae
Description: LSU rRNA
Rfam family: Eukaryotic large subunit ribosomal RNA
Source: RNAcentral